Molecule: ribosomal RNA, 253 nt
Filed under: uncultured bacterium
Lineage: Bacteria
Description: partial 16S ribosomal RNA
Rfam family: Bacterial small subunit ribosomal RNA
Source: RNAcentral
UACGAAGGGGGCUAGCGUUGCUCGGAAUCACUGGGCGUAAAGCGCACGUAGGCGGACUUUUAAGUCAGGGGUGAAAUCCUGGAGCUCAACUCCAGAACUGCCUUUGAUACUGGAAGUCUUGAGUCCGGAAGAGGUAAGUGGAACUGCGAGUGUAGAGGUGAAAUUCGUAGAUAUUCGCAAGGACACCAGUGGCGAAGGCGGCUUACUGGUCCGGUACUGACGCUGAGGUGCGAAAGCGUGGGGAGCGAACAGG